Long non-coding RNA from Lepidothrix coronata (blue-crowned manakin), 818 nucleotides. RefSeq lists it as uncharacterized. The transcript is spliced from 3 exons. NCBI's taxonomy places the organism in Eukaryota, Metazoa, Chordata, Aves, Passeriformes, Pipridae. The record is from RefSeq and is a predicted model, not a curated record.
ACCUUCCACUAGUUCAGGUUGCUCCAAGCCCCGUCCAACCUGCCCUUGGACACUUCCAGGGAUGGAGUUACAACUUCUAUACCUGUAGAAGUUUGAGUUACACACAGCCCCUUUAAGAGACCCUGCUCAAUCACUCAGACCUUUCAGAGGAGGAGUUAUACAAUGGCUAUUGUGUGAAAACAAAACAUUAGUGAGGAGGAAAUUCCUCCAGGGAUCUCACAUCUGGGAGUGACUUGGGAUAAGCUGCAGUGACCAGCAAGGAAUCCUCCUGCACAGACUGGGUCUAACUGUGCUUCUGCCCCAGGGGUUGCUUCAGGGAGACCCCCCCUCUUAGCAAGGCACAAAUCCACCUGGCUGGGCUGCAAAACUUCAUCCAUAAGCAGCAGAAUGUUUAAAAAAGUCACCAGAUACGUUGUAAACCAAGGGGAUCCAAACCAAGAAUGGGUCCCUGUCGAGAGCAUCACAGACAACGAGCACUUCAGACCCUUGUGUCUUCUGACACAAAAAAGAAAACCAAAAACCGAAUUCCACCCAGGUCCCUACUACCAGUGCACAAACUUUAGUCUGGACGAUGUGCUGCUGCCUGAAGAAGAUGGGAUAAGCACAGAGUCCCUCCUUCCCUCCGGAGAUGGUCCAGAUUACAACAGAUUAGCUCUCACAAAGGUCACUGCUGACAAAGUCAAGGGGGAUCUCAGCCUUAGUGUUGACCCUGCAAGUGUGGAGCUGAAAGGAAGUGGCUCCUUGUCCCAGGAGUUUUCCAUCAAGCUGCAGAAGAAGGCCAUAAAAAUGAACUCACUGGAGACAAUGAGAAAGAAAAG